UCACCCUGAUAAGGCGGGGGCUGUUAUCAGCGCACCCAGGCUGCGCCCCUCCCGGCACCGAGCCCAACGGGGCCAGCAGCCCCCCGGGUGCCGUCCCCAUGGCCCUGUGAGGGUCCCCGAGCUGGCAUGAGCGUGUGCACGCGUGUGCAUGCGUGUGCAUGAGUGUGCACGUGUGUGUGCAUGCGUGUGCUCACGUGUGUGCGUGUGCAAGGUGCACCCAGCUCACCUUUCUCCCCUUCCCUGCACCCUGCGUGCGGGAGCAGCCUGGCCUGGCAGCGUGCAGCCCCACGCGUGCGUGCACACACACGUGUACAUGAACACACGCGUGCAGACACACACCUGUGUACGUGUGCACACGCGUGCAUUCACACCUGCAUUUCCAUGUGCACGCACACAGGCACUUGGAAACCUGCCCGCAUUCACGCGCUCGUGCACAGGUGCACGCACGCCUUUGUGCACGUGCACACACGAGUGCAAAGGUUCGUGCGUGCACACACAGCCCUGUGCACCCGUUUGCACACACACGAGCGUGCACACAGGCGUGCACACACACCCGCAGGGUGCACCCAGCCUCCAGGACACCCCAGGACGGGCGCAUCCCCCCCACCACCCAUGGGCCCCAAAAUGGCUCCUGCCCCCCCCGCCUGGGGGGAACCCCUUUUUUUUUUUAAAAAAAAUUAAAAAAAAAUUAAAAAAAAAGAGAAAACCCCAAGCCCAAGGAGGGGAGAGGAUUCCCGGGGAUUCCCCGAGGGAAACCCGGACCCAAAACCCCGAUAGCAGCUGUGGGAUUGCGGGGUGGCCGGAGCGGGGCCGGGCAGCGUGGGGCAGCACCGUGGGUUGGGGCCGGGCGCAGCCGCCGAGGCGCAAGAUGUUGCACCCCGAUAACCUUGUUUACGGGGCCGGGGGGGGGCCGGGCGAGCCGGGGGGGGCAGCGGUGGGGGGCAGAUUAGGAGGUGAGCGUGACUCAGGGCAUUUGGGUGCCUGCCCCGGCGGCGCGCGGCUCUUCCACCGGAGAGCCGGGGGCUGGCGGCGACGGCAGCGGCGUCCCCGAGCCACCCCAAAGGACGCCGAGGAGGUGAUGCGGAGAAACCUGGACCCCGAGGGCUACGAGGACCCGGGGAUCAAGGUCUCGAGGAUGUCGCUGGAGGAGACGAGCACCGGUAUUUGCCCAGCCACCGGGGAUCCUAUGACCUGGACGGGAGGAGGCGCGCGGCCGGGGCCCCCCCGGGACGGGUCAGCCGCCGUGGCGGAGGGCAGAGUGAGUGACCCG
Molecule: long non-coding RNA, 1270 nt
Filed under: Anas platyrhynchos platyrhynchos (common mallard)
Lineage: Eukaryota; Metazoa; Chordata; Aves; Anseriformes; Anatidae
Description: lncRNA (ENSAPLG00000018966.1)
Source: RNAcentral